This 329-nucleotide long non-coding RNA is filed under the name Homo sapiens (human). RNAcentral describes it as "HSALNT0357620". Lineage: Eukaryota; Metazoa; Chordata; Mammalia; Primates; Hominidae. The record is from RNAcentral.
CCCAGAAGUAUGGAACACACACAUCACCCAGAUUCUGACUUCUAAUACCAGUCUCUAAAGAAAGGAACAAGACAUCCUGGCAGAUACUGUGGAUUCUAGGGCUGGGCAGGGCAUAUAGAAGAAGAGCCUGGCAUGUCUCAUAGUGCCAGAAUGAACAGAGCUGGGACCAGCGAGGUGAAGGGUCUCACUGAGGUCAUUCAACUACAAAAUGCCAGAGCAGGAGUGGAGGCCAAGUCCCCAGGCUCCAAUUCAUGACCUCAAGGUGAAAAGAUCUCCCGAGACAGAUAACAGUUCUCAUUUAAGCAAGAAUUAAAAAUAAAACCUCUCAG